This 1902-nucleotide ribosomal RNA is filed under the name Salmonella enterica. Its description in RNAcentral is "partial 23S ribosomal RNA". It matches the Rfam family "Bacterial large subunit ribosomal RNA", at positions 919 to 2802 of the family's 2925-position model. The record is from RNAcentral. Lineage: Bacteria; Pseudomonadati; Pseudomonadota; Gammaproteobacteria; Enterobacterales; Enterobacteriaceae.
CUAGGGGGCCAUCCCGGCUUACCAACCCGAUGCAAACUGCGAAUACCGGAGAAUGUUAUCACGGGAGACACACGGCGGGUGCUAACGUCCGUCGUGAAGAGGGAAACAACCCAGACCGCCAGCUAAGGUCCCAAAGUCAUGGUUAAGUGGGAAACGAUGUGGGAAGGCCCAGACAGCCAGGAUGUUGGCUUAGAAGCAGCCAUCAUUUAAAGAAAGCGUAAUAGCUCACUGGUCGAGUCGGCCUGCGCGGAAGAUGUAACGGGGCUAAACCAUGCACCGAAGCUGCGGCAGCGACACUAUGUGUUGUUGGGUAGGGGAGCGUUCUGUAAGCCUGUGAAGGUGGCCUGUGAGGGUUGCUGGAGGUAUCAGAAGUGCGAAUGCUGACAUAAGUAACGAUAAAGCGGGUGAAAAGCCCGCUCGCCGGAAGACCAAGGGUUCCUGUCCAACGUUAAUCGGGGCAGGGUGAGUCGACCCCUAAGGCGAGGCCGAAAGGCGUAGUCGAUGGGAAACGGGUUAAUAUUCCCGUACUUGGUGUUACUGCGAAGGGGGGACGGAGAAGGCUAUGUUGGCCGGGCGACGGUUGUCCCGGUUUAAGCGUGUAGGUGUGUGUUCCAGGUAAAUCCGGUUCACUUUAACACUGAGGCGUGAUGACGAGGCACUACGGUGCUGAAGCAACAAAUGCCCUGCUUCCAGGAAAAGCCUCUAAGCAUCAGGUAACAUCAAAUCGUACCCCAAACCGACACAGGUGGUCAGGUAGAGAAUACCAAGGCGCUUGAGAGAACUCGGGUGAAGGAACUAGGCAAAAUGGUGCCGUAACUUCGGGAGAAGGCACGCUGACAUGUAGGUGAAGUGAUUUACUCAUGGAGCUGAAGUCAGUCGAAGAUACCAGCUGGCUGCAACUGUUUAUUAAAAACACAGCACUGUGCAAACACGAAAGUGGACGUAUACGGUGUGACGCCUGCCCGGUGCCGGAAGGUUAAUUGAUGGGGUCAGCGCAAGCGAAGCUCCUGAUCGAAGCCCCGGUAAACGGCGGCCGUAACUAUAACGGUCCUAAGGUAGCGAAAUUCCUUGUCGGGUAAGUUCCGACCUGCACGAAUGGCGUAAUGAUGGCCAGGCUGUCUCCACCCGAGACUCAGUGAAAUUGAACUCGCUGUGAAGAUGCAGUGUACCCGCGGCAAGACGGAAAGACCCCGUGAACCUUUACUAUAGCUUGACACUGAACAUUGAGCCUUGAUGUGUAGGAUAGGUGGGAGGCUUUGAAGUGUGGACGCCAGUCUGCAUGGAGCCGACCUUGAAAUACCACCCUUUAAUGUUUGAUGUUCUAACGUGGACCCGUAAUCCGGGUUGCGGACAGUGUCUGGUGGGUAGUUUGACUGGGGCGGUCUCCUCCUAAAGAGUAACGGAGGAGCACGAAGGUUGGCUAAUCCUGGUCGGACAUCAGGAGGUUAGUGCAAUGGCAUAAGCCAGCUUGACUGCGAGCGUGACGGCGCGAGCAGGUGCGAAAGCAGGUCAUAGUGAUCCGGUGGUUCUGAAUGGAAGGGCCAUCGCUCAACGGAUAAAAGGUACUCCGGGGAUAACAGGCUGAUACCGCCCAAGAGUUCAUAUCGACGGCGGUGUUUGGCACCUCGAUGUCGGCUCAUCACAUCCUGGGGCUGAAGUAGGUCCCAAGGGUAUGGCUGUUCGCCAUUUAAAGUGGUACGCGAGCUGGGUUUAGAACGUCGUGAGACAGUUCGGUCCCUAUCUGCCGUGGGCGCUGGAGAACUGAGGGGGGCUGCUCCUAGUACGAGAGGACCGGAGUGGACGCAUCACUGGUGUUCGGGUUGUCAUGCCAAUGGCACUGCCCGGUAGCUAAAUGCGGAAGAGAUAAGUGCUGAAAGCAUCUAAGCACGAAACUUGCCCCGA